UCAGUGGAAGUGUCUCACCUAGGGAUGCCUACAAGCAUCUUUGCCCCCACUGCUGGGCCAGUGGGCACACCCACUCCCCCAAAGACACACGGAAGAUUUCCCCGUGGAAAGCAAACUCCAGAUCACGGAGCAGUGCUGAGUGAGCAUGCCCACUGGAAAGAUCCUUUCCUUUCAAAUGGUCCCCCUGGCCCUGAGACCCUGACUCCAUUUCUCUAAGGGGGUGGCUGGCCCCAGAUGGAUGGGCUCCUCUGGGUCUUCUCUGAGGCCAAGGGCCCUGGGGGUAGCUGUUCCCUGCCAUGCAGGCUACACACUUCUCUUUCCACAGAGCGAGAUAAGAUCUACCGCCCCAUCUCGGAAAGCCUCCAAAGGCAGAUUAAUUGGACAGCCCAACACGAGUCGCAUCGUUAAAACAACAGCCUGGGUUGUAAAGUUAAGUAGCAGUACUGUAAUUGCUCUCUCGGUCAGCGACCAGCUGAGCCUGCGGCACCCCCCCCCCCCUUCUCUUACCCCCGUGUGCCCUUUCCAGGGAAAAUGAGCCUCUUUUCCAUUUGGGAGCUGGUCCACUUGCCUCGGACUUCUAGGUGGUGGUGCAUCUGCCUCACCUCCACCUCUCCAGCCACCAGGGUUACUUACUGAAGGGAACCCCGUGGCUUCUUCCCAGGAUGAAGCUCCUUUGGGGGACACUGGAUCAACCAAGGAACGGGAAGACGGAAGGCAGCCUUUGGUCUCCAAGGAGUCCCAGCUUGCUUUGUGACUUUGGGUGAGUUUCUUAACCUCUCUGUGCUUUAUUUCUUAUCCCCUCAGACAAGAACGGUAAUAGGAUAGAUAGGCUUUGCCGUGUGGCUCCGAUGAUGAAAUGACAUGGUGCCCGGAACACAGUGCACACUUUAUAGAUGACAUUCACGGCUGCUGCUGCGAUGGCAGGAGGGGACAGCCCACUCUGAGGGUGAGUUCCUAGAGCCAUCUAUUUACCUCUUGCUUAAGUAGACAGCCCUGCCUUCCCAGGGUAGGGAGGCAGGAUGGGGUUGGACAUACACCCCAGCACCUCUCAGCCACCACUGUCGGAAGGACUCAGGCAAGGUCCCCCACUCAGAAUGGGCCGCGGCUUGCCCAUCUAACAUCAGCAGAACGGGCAGUGCGUCCGGGGUAUGCUCUGUCACUUCCACGGUCUCAGCCCCAGGAAAGUGGCCUCCUUCUGGGUAGCUCACCCCCUCCCCCGACUCCCCUGUACUAUUUUAAGGUAUGGCCCCCUGUUCUCUCCCCAGACCAAAUGAGAUUCAAUUAAUUCAAUUAAAGCAAUUUUGGAAGCAGCUCCUGAAGGCUUUGGAUGUGAGAUAAUUACCAGUAAUUUGCUUCUGUGAAGAGGAAAAGGUUACGCAGGGUCUAGAGUGGAGAAAGAGGUAGCCCCCUCCUCACCAAAUGCACCCAGAUCGAGAAGGAUUCCACACAGCAAUCUUAGCUGCCCUCUCCCAUUGGCCAAAUUGCUUGCAGCCCUUUCUGGUUCUGCCCGGUGUCCCAUCAAAAUCCCUUCCACUUUCUCGUUGGCAAAUCUACUGUCCGCUUUCUGGCCCCGGGGCCACUAGUUUCUUCCUCCCCCCAACGCAUAUUACAGGAGUCGGUCUGUCGGCCCUUUGUUUCUCCCAGGGCACUCAGUGCACCCCUUCUCCAGCUGCCGGGCUGCUGGAGGUGGGGCCUGGGAGGAAUUCCCUCAGUGAGCCAGCCCUUGAUGGCCACUGCCUCUUCAUGGUGGGCCAGCUCGGUGGGCGAGGGAAGCCUGAGUCUCUACCACCUCAUGCCUCUGCCUCCCACGUCUGCCACCACCACCACCGUGCUCAGAUCCAGAACAAAUGGAGGAAUACAAACACCUCCUCAUUCCAGAGUUCAUGUCAACAGGCCAGCCUCAGGACCCUAGCACAGAGGUAACUUGAAAGUGGAGACAAGAUCUGUAUAGUUCAAGGUCAUCCUCGGCUACAUAAAGUUCAAAGCCAGCCUGGGCUACAUGACACCCUGUCAAGGAAUAAGUAGGGAGGGGAGGGGGGUUUGCGGGGGAGUAUGGAGAAAAAGAAAACUAAGAACGAGCCUGGUGUGAUAGCAUCUGCCUUUAAUUCCAGCAUUCUGGAGUCCCAGGCCUGCCAGAGCUACACAGGGCACCCUUCUCAAAAAUAAAUAAUAA
Peromyscus maniculatus bairdii (prairie deer mouse) is the source of this 2173-nucleotide non-coding RNA. Lineage: Eukaryota; Metazoa; Chordata; Mammalia; Rodentia; Cricetidae. The record is from RefSeq and is a predicted model, not a curated record.